AUACAAUGGGUUGAUCUGUAGAAUGGAGUGAGCUGGACAAUGGGGCUACUCACCCCACCCACCUUGCAAAGUGAUGCAGGACAGGAAAUGGGUUAAUAGAAGCUCGGAUUUAGAAGAGUGCCUGGCACGCCUAAGGGCUCAAGCCGUCUGUGUAAUUAUCUUAAACUUUUUCAUUUCGGAAAUGAAACAGCUCCUCCCUUCACCGCCACCUUGGCUAUUUCUGGGACCAAAGGAAUCCUUGAAGCUGACCGGGCAGGAGAGUCCACGCUGGGAGUAAAAUCACUACAAACUGUCCAUCAGAAGGCCCCUGCUGAGUAGUUGGCAGGGUGGCUGCACAUAAUGGAAAGCACAUAAGCUUGAAGCCAGACAGAUGGGAGUUCUAACCCCAGCCCUGCCACUUAUUCCCAGGUGACACUGAGUGGAAAUUAGGCCAAAAUAAAUACUACUUUCUGCUUAAAAAAAUGCAGUGAUGUCCAAAGAGAAGGGAGGAGGAAGGAUGAAAGGAAAGACAGAGGAGGAAGGAAGAGAAGAAAGAAGAGUGGCCGGCACAAGGGCUUGGAGAUCCCUGAAGCUGUUUUCCUUUCUCCUCACCCCCACAGGGAGGGAUCCACAUCGUUGUGGGGUUUUUGUUGUUGUUGUUUUUGUUUUUGUUUUUUUGCCUCCCUUCAUCAAAGCAUUCAUUGUAGUGUAUGGUAAUUGUCUCUGAAUGUAACAGCCUCUCUUCCCUGAGGCCUGGGUCUGCUUGUUUCAUACCAUCUUCUCCUUAACACACAGUGCUUGGUAAACAAUACCUAUUAAUAAAC
RNAcentral lists this long non-coding RNA (803 nucleotides) under Homo sapiens (human). RNAcentral's name for it is "non-protein coding lnc-STX18-1:7". Lineage: Eukaryota; Metazoa; Chordata; Mammalia; Primates; Hominidae. The record is from RNAcentral.